AUACGUAGGGAGCGAGCGUUGUCCGGAAUUACUGGGUGUAAAGGGUGCGUAGGCGGGACUGCAAGUCAGAUGUGAAAUGCCGGGGCUCGACCCCGGAGCUGCAUUUGAAACUGUGGUUCUUGAGUGAGGUAGAGGUAAGCGGAAUUCCUAGUGUAGCGGUGAAAUGCGUAGAUAUUGGGAGGAACACCAGUGGCGAAGGCGACUUACUGGACUGUAACUGACGCUGAGGCGCGAAAGUGUGGGGAGCAAACAGGAUUAGAUACCCUGGUAGUCCACACUGUAAACGAUGAAUGCUAGGUGUAGGGGGUAUCGACCCCUUCUGUGCCGCAGUCAACACAAUAAGCAUUCCGCCUGGGGAGUACGGCCGCAAGGUUGAAACUCAAAGGAAUUGACGGGG
This 397-nucleotide ribosomal RNA is filed under the name uncultured bacterium. RNAcentral's name for it is "partial 16S ribosomal RNA". It matches the Rfam family "Bacterial small subunit ribosomal RNA", at positions 523 to 918 of the family's 1533-position model. The record is from RNAcentral.